Molecule: non-coding RNA, 695 nt
Organism: Manis javanica (Malayan pangolin)
Lineage: Eukaryota; Metazoa; Chordata; Mammalia; Pholidota; Manidae
Source: RefSeq, a predicted model, not a curated record
GAAAGUCUAGAACUUUGAGGUUGCCUGCAGUAGCAUGUAAACAGCUCCUUUUGACUGUAAUGUUUUACAGCUUGGUGUUGUGGUCGCCACACAUGCAUUAAAGUUACCAGAAGGGCCCAUUACACAAUGGGGCGAGUACUGGUGUGAGGUGACGGUAAAUGGGCUUGACACUGUGAGAGUACCAAUGUCUGUGGUGAACUUUGAGAGGCCCAAGACCAAAAGACGCAAGUACUGGUUAGCCCAGCAAGCUGCCAAAGGAAUGUCCCCCACUGGCUCCCAGAUGAUCUGAUCCUAUUCUCCCUGAAAAGCAGCAAAGCAGAAUCAAAGGAACAGUGGAGCAAAGAUGGGCGAACAUCCUGAUAGCACACCUUGCUUUAAUCAAAUAUGAAAUUUCAGAGAGCAUAUGGGGACAUCAGACUAAACUGCGUAUACAUGUUGAAUUCUAUUUGCCGUCUCCAACUUCAACUGUUAGUGUAUCUGGCCUUCUAGGGCAAUCCUGCUGAAGUACCAGGUUGUAUAUUUGAUAAGCUGAAUAUUAAUAGACCAAAAUGGUCUAGAUCCUUUUUAGCCUCUUUCUCCAUUGCAAUUCAUUAGAACAAAUUGAAGAGCCAGCCAUUGUCUCCACUAUUUGGCUCUGUCUUGUCACCCAAUCUGAACAUUUCUAUUUUGAGAAGAAAUAAAGAGAUUGUAUUCUU